This 497-nucleotide ribosomal RNA is filed under the name uncultured bacterium. RNAcentral describes it as "partial 16S ribosomal RNA". It matches the Rfam family "Bacterial small subunit ribosomal RNA", at positions 28 to 507 of the family's 1533-position model. The record is from RNAcentral.
GAUGAACGCUGGCGGCGUGCCUAAUACAUGCAAGUCGAGCGAACAGACGAGGAGCUUGCUCCUCUGACGUUAGCGGCGGACGGGUGAGUAACACGUGGAUAACCUACCUAUAAGACUGGGAUAACUUCGGGAAACCGGAGCUAAUACCGGAUAAUAUAUUGAACCGCAUGGUUCAAUAGUGAAAGACGGUUUUGCUGUCACUUAUAGAUGUAUCCGCGCCGCAUUAGCUAGUUGGUAAGGUAACGGCUUACCAAGGCAACGAUGCGUAGCCGACCUGAGAGGGUGAUCGGCCACACUGGAACUGAGACACGGUCCAGACUCCUACGGGAGGCAGCAGUAGGGAAUAUUCCGCAAUGGGCGAAAGCCUGACGGAGCAACGCCGCGUGAGUGAUGAAGGUCUUCGGAUCGUAAAACUCUGUUAUUAGGGAAGAACAAAUGUGUAAGUAACUAUGCACGUCUUGACGGUACCUAAACAGAAAGCCACGGCUAACUACGUG